Molecule: unclassified non-coding RNA, 21 nt
Filed under: Chlamydomonas reinhardtii
Lineage: Eukaryota; Viridiplantae; Chlorophyta; Chlorophyceae; Chlamydomonadales; Chlamydomonadaceae
Description: small RNA Cre_3517
Source: RNAcentral
UGUACGAGUCGCGACAGGCGC